UGGGGAAUAUUGCACAAUGGGCGCAAGCCUGAUGCAGCCAUGCCGCGUGUAUGAAGAAGGCCUUCGGGUUGUAAAGUACUUUCAGCGGGGAGGAAGGCGAUAAGGUUAAUAACCUUGUCGAUUGACGUUACCCGCAGAAGAAGCACCGGCUAACUCCGUGCCAGCAGCCGCGGUAAUACGGAGGGUGCAAGCGUUAAUCGGAAUUACUGGGCGUAAAGCGCACGCAGGCGGUCUGUCAAGUCGGAUGUGAAAUCCCCGGGCUCAACCUGGGAACUGCAUUCGAAACUGGCAGGCUAGAGUCUUGUAGAGGGGGGUAGAAUUCCAGGUGUAGCGGUGAAAUGCGUAGAGAUCUGGAGGAGUACCGGUGGCGAAGGCGGCCCCCUGGACAAAGACUGACGCUCAGGUGCGAAAGCGUGGGGAGCAAACA
RNAcentral lists this ribosomal RNA (427 nucleotides) under uncultured bacterium. RNAcentral describes it as "partial 16S ribosomal RNA". It matches the Rfam family "Bacterial small subunit ribosomal RNA", at positions 355 to 774 of the family's 1533-position model. The record is from RNAcentral.